Molecule: long non-coding RNA, 1003 nt
Organism: Eleginops maclovinus (Patagonian blennie)
Lineage: Eukaryota; Metazoa; Chordata; Actinopteri; Perciformes; Eleginopidae
Exons: 2
Source: RefSeq, a predicted model, not a curated record
UCCAGUGGCUAAGGAAAUGUGGAAGACUCCUUAAGCGUCUAGGUUGAGGAUGUUACAAAUGGUGUGACUCGUCUCUAUUGUUGAUUAUCUUGUACACAUCUAAGAUAUGCUUAACUCACAAUUUAUGAAUGUAAAACCAAAACUAUAUCUACAUGGCAAACCACUAGAUGAGUUAAAUACAUCUUUUCUUUUGUAAUCUCUGUGACCCAACAUUUUGAAAUGAUGCUCUGAAAUAUCUGCAUUGUGAAAAGCAUGUUUUGCAAGUGCAGAAGGUAAAAAAACCUCAAGAGUGUAAUGCGCAGCACUCUGUUUGUUGUUGACCCUUACAUGUGACCUAUGCUUAAUGUCAUCAGGCCAAUAUUCAUCCGUCUUCACUGAGAUUGGCUGCAUCCCUUUGACCAUGACUUCCUACACUCCCGCAACUGGAUGGGUCACACUCAGCACCUUCAACUGGGUAAUUGGCAACACAAACCCCAUGGACUACAGCCGUCCUUUCUUCUGUGCCAAGUCUCAACUGGAGGAGACGCCAGAUACCUUCUUCACCGCCUUGCAGUCUGUGGCCAUGAAGAAUAAGAAAGUGGAGUAAACAUCUGGGGCAUCUCGGCAAGAUAAUGAAAACUGCUCCUGUCAGAGCUAAUUUGAAUUAUUAUCAUUUUAUUAUUAUUCAAUAUUCAUCAUGUUUUACAAUGAUUUUCAAUUAUUAUUUACCCUGCUAAGCCACCAGACAACAGGAGUCAUAGGAAUGUGCGUGAAAUUAUUCAAUGCACUCUUAAAACAUGAUUUAACUCUGUUGUUAUAGUAGUAUUGAGGUGAAACCCACUGCAUUACUUGGCAAUGAAGUCGGAUGGAAAGCUUAAGUUAGACGCGAAAAUCAAGACUGUUAAAAGUGACACAGUAAGAACUAAGUUAAGGAAACCUUUUAAUAGCAGCUGAGCUACAUUCCUGACAUGUUUUUAUAUAGCUGUCAAGAUCUUCAAUACAAUAUUUUGAAAGCAUCCAACAA